Molecule: transfer RNA, 88 nt
Filed under: Hypoxylon crocopeplum
Lineage: Eukaryota; Fungi; Ascomycota; Sordariomycetes; Xylariales; Hypoxylaceae
Description: tRNA-Tyr
Rfam family: tRNA
About the family: Transfer RNA (tRNA) molecules are approximately 80 nucleotides in length.
Source: RNAcentral
CCCUUGGUGGUGUAGUUGGUUAUCGCGUUCGGCUGUAAUUGUAAUAAUUGAAACCGAAAUGUCGCCGGUUCGAUUCCGGCCCGAGGGA